GAUGAAGAACGUAGCGAAAUGCGAUACUUGGUGUGAAUUGCAGAAUCCCGUGAACCAUCGAGUCUUUGAACGCAAGUUGCGCCCGAAGCCAUUAGGCCGAGGGCACGCCUGCCUGGGCGUCACACGUCGUUGCCCCCCCAUCUACUCCUUCGGGAUUGCGGGGGGCGGAUGAUGGCCUCCCGUGCGCCUCGCCGCGCGGUUGGCAUAAAUGCCAAGUCCUCGGCGACGCACGCCACGACAAUCGGUGGUUGCGAAACCUCGGUUGCCCGUCGUGUGCGGUCGUCGCGCAUCGAGGGCUCGAAAAAAUUGCCGGGUUCCGGCUCGGCUUUCAACGCGACCCCAGGUCAGGCGGGGUUACCCGCUGAAUUUAAGCAUAUCAAAGCGGAGGA
RNAcentral lists this unclassified non-coding RNA (389 nucleotides) under soil metagenome. RNAcentral's name for it is "partial contains 5.8S ribosomal RNA, internal transcribed spacer 2, and large subunit ribosomal RNA". The stretch from base 1 to 122 matches the Rfam family "5.8S ribosomal RNA", at positions 35 to 154 of the family's 154-position model. The record is from RNAcentral.